RNAcentral lists this ribosomal RNA (495 nucleotides) under uncultured bacterium. RNAcentral describes it as "partial 16S ribosomal RNA". It matches the Rfam family "Bacterial small subunit ribosomal RNA", at positions 28 to 507 of the family's 1533-position model. The record is from RNAcentral.
GACGAACGCUGGCGGCGUGCCUAAUACAUGCAAGUAGAACGCUGAAGGAGGAGCUUGCCCUUCUGGAUGAGUUGCGAACGGGUGAGUAACGCGUAGGUAACCUGCCUGGUAGCGGGGGAUAACUAUUGGAAACGAUAGCUAAUACCGCAUAACAGUAGAUGUUGCAUGACAUUUACUUAAAAGGUGCAAUUGCAUCACUACCAGAUGGACCUGCGUUGUAUUAGCUAGUUGGUGGGGUAACGGCUCACCAAGGCGACGAUACAUAGCCGACCUGAGAGGGGGAUCGGCCACACUGGGACUGAGACACGGCCCAGACUCCUACGGGAGGCAGCAGUAGGGAAUCUUCGGCAAUGGGCGGAAGUCUGACCGAGCAACGCCGCGUGAGUGAAGAAGGUUUUCGGAUCGUAAAGCUCUGUUGUAAGAGAAGAACGAGUGUGAGAGUGGAAAGUUCACACUGUGACGGUAUCUUACCAGAAAGGGACGGCUAACUACGUG